CACUUCUUCCAUCCACUUUAUUUCAAAUCUCCCCACCUAUACAUGCACCAAUACAUACACUUCCCCUCUUUGGCUCUUCCCAUCCACAUCCAUUUGUACCUCACUUCCUAUCCAUACACAAUCCCUCUUCUUCCAAUCUUCUUCCAACAUCUCACUUCCUAUCAACUCCAUCCUCAUAUUCAUCUUCUCCCUUACUCAACUUCUCCCAUCCACUCUUCCAUUCAAACCAACUAUUCAUCAUCUUCUUCCAUCUUCCACUCCAUAAUCAACUAUCAACUUCUUUAUCUAAUAAUUCAACCUUCCACUCAACUCUCUCUCUCUCUCUCUCUCUCAAAGAUUUCAGCCAUCUCCCCUCCCUAGGCCAAAACUACUUCAUUUUGUUGGAAAACCACCUCGGUUUUUCGGUGACCGCUCCCCGACCCGACCUGUACUCAAAACAAUCUUUAUAUCCCACACUUAGUCGACUUUUCGACUCCAUUGGUGACAUUAUUUUCGUCAUUUGAAGCCCCCAACACACAAAACCAGCACUGUGCAAUCGUUGUUUCUUUGUGCUUUUCCUGUUCCUGGCGAGUUUCUAACCCCCACGACUAUGGCUAGUCGUGCCCACACCUGUAACUCCUCUCCUUCUUCUAUAUCUCUUCUCUUAUAGGUCUUUUGGUCCUGAAGAUCCGAGCAAAUCUGUGGCUUCCUCCUCUAUCUGAGUACCCUCCUCGGCUCUCUAUCACUCGCAGCCCCCAUGCCCUCUCCUCGUUCUGAGCCACUUUACUGACGCCUCGGGCAUAGGGCACGAUCAACACAGUGUCCAACCCGAUCGCGGUAUGAGGUCUAGUCUCGAGUCACCGUUUCAACCUGAGUAGUAUCCAAACGGAGGAUGACUUAGGUCUGGACGUUUGUGUCCCCCGGGAAAGUGGAUUCUCCAAAGUGGUGAGAUCGUGCGUACACAUGCGAGUCUCGACGAGAUGAAAUUUGGAGGAGCUGGAGGUAGAUCGACGAACGCGAGGGAGAGCAACGGUUGCGAGGGGCCUCGAUGGCUGAAAUGGGCUCACACUAACUUGAGCGUCGAAGAGAGAAAUCGGUCAUCAUCCCCAAUCUCCCCUUGUGCAAGUGUUUGAGACUAAACGUGGGCUGUGAAUCAAGUCUCUUCAUCGACAAAACACACGUGAGUUACUCGUGGUUUGAAUUCGAAUUUCCUGGUCCUAACAAGUAGGGAAUCUUUGUGUUACACAAAUAUAGAUACGUUUAAGGUCGAGAUUUUAUCUGGGUAAAAUCUAAGGGCUAAAAGUGAAAACGACCAGGGUUGUUGUUUUUCAAUCAACCGCCCUAUAAAGUAUGAAGUACAAACUUGCAAGGGAUCAUGGAUUCGUUCAGUUCAUGCAGAAUACUUGGAGUCAUCCAAAUUCACGGCACAUGGUAACUUUCCCCUACUUAAUCGGGCUAUACCGGUUUAAAGGUAUCUUACAAUCAGUCCUAAUCACCUCUUCGUGCAUUUUGAAAAAUCUUUAUUAUUUGUGCUAUCGAUUAAAAAAAAAAAAGGAACUUUGAUUUUCGUUUGAAAUCUUAUGAGUAGUAUCUGCUUUGACUAUUUACAAUUUACAUGAGAACUCGGGAGGAUAGGCCAUUAUCAUCUUCUUUAAAAAGCGUAAAAAGGUUAGUUCAAAUUGUUCGAUAUUUGUUUUUCUUAAAUAAGAUUCCGUGUUUGAGCCUUAUGAAUGGAAGUAAUCUAUGCUGGAAGAAUUUCACUUUUUAGUGUGCCAACCGACUUGUACUGGAUUAAUCAGGACUCAAAUAGGCGUUCGCAUAUUAUUGUGUACACCGAAAAGUAUAGGUAACGCAAGCAUGAUUUCCAACACAACAAUUUUUAUAUUUUACUUUUUGGGUGAAAGAACAACAGAAUGUAUUUCAAGAUGCAACAAAGUACCCAAUUAUUUCAGAAUGCCUCUGUCUUCUGAGGGAGAUAUAUAGGCAUACAGCAUUUGAUACAUAUAUAUAAUAUUGCAAGCAUUUUAUUUCUGGACAUA
Punica granatum (pomegranate) is the source of this 2018-nucleotide non-coding RNA. The record is from RefSeq and is a predicted model, not a curated record. NCBI's taxonomy places the organism in Eukaryota, Viridiplantae, Streptophyta, Magnoliopsida, Myrtales, Lythraceae.